UGUAAGCGUAUACCAAAGUUGUUGCAGUUAAAACGCUCGUAGUCGGAAUUUGGCAGUUCCGGAUGUGUGCACGUCGUGUGCGCACUUCGCGGGGAUUGCUUUUGUGGUCUUGCGUAGGAUGAGGCACUUUUAUUAGUGAACGUCCUCACGCAACCACUUUUUACUGUGAGAAAAUCAGAGUGCUCAAAGCAGGCAUUUGCCGUGAAUGUAUUAGCAUGGAAUAAUAGAAUAGGACUUGGUUCUAUUUUGUUGGUUUGAUGGGACUGAGUAAUGAUUAAGAGGGACAGUUGGGGGCAUUUGUAUUUCGGUGCUAGAGGUGAAAUUCUUAGAUUACCGAAAGACAAACUGCUGCGAAAGCGUCUGCCAAGGAUGUUUUCAUUGA
Molecule: ribosomal RNA, 382 nt
Filed under: uncultured eukaryote
Lineage: Eukaryota
Description: partial 18S ribosomal RNA
Rfam family: Eukaryotic small subunit ribosomal RNA
Source: RNAcentral